UGGCGAACGGGUGAGUAACACGUGGGCAAUCUGCCCUUCACUCUGGGACAAGCCCUGGAAACGGGGUCUAAUACCGGAUAAUACUCUGUCCCGCAUGGGACGGGGUUGAAAGCUCCGGCGGUGAAGGAUGAGCCCGCGGCCUAUCAGCUUGUUGGUGGGGUAAUGGCCUACCAAGGCGACGACGGGUAGCCGGCCUGAGAGGGCGACCGGCCACACUGGGACUGAGACACGGCCCAGACUCCUACGGGAGGCAGCAGUGGGGAAUAUUGCACAAUGGGCGAAAGCCUGAUGCAGCGACGCCGCGUGAGGGAUGACGGCCUUCGGGUUGUAAACCUCUUUCAGCAGGGAAGAAGCGAAAGUGACGGUACCUGCAGAAGAAGCGCCGGCUAACUACGUGCCAGCAGCCGCGGUAAUACGUAGGGCGCAAGCGUUGUCCGGAAUUAUUGGGCGUAAAGAGCUCGUAGGCGGCUUGUCACGUCGGAUGUGAAAGCCCGGGGCUUAACCCCGGGUCUGCAUUCGAUACGGGCUAGCUAGAGUGUGGUAGGGGAGAUCGGAAUUCCUGGUGUAGCGGUGAAAUGCGCAGAUAUCAGGAGGAACACCGGUGGCGAAGGCGGAUCUCUGGGCCAUUACUGACGCUGAGGAGCGAAAGCGUGGGGAGCGAACAGGAUUAGAUACCCUGGUAGUCCACGCCGUAAACGUUGGGAACUAGGUGUUGGCGACAUUCCACGUCGUCGGUGCCGCAGCUAACGC
Molecule: ribosomal RNA, 750 nt
Filed under: Streptomyces badius
Lineage: Bacteria; Bacillati; Actinomycetota; Actinomycetes; Kitasatosporales; Streptomycetaceae
Description: bacterial SSU rRNA
Rfam family: Bacterial small subunit ribosomal RNA
Source: RNAcentral